AACAGGAUUAGAUACCCUGGUAGUCCACGCUGUAAACGAUGUCGAUUUGGAGGUUGUGCCCUUGAGGCGUGGCUUCCGGAGCUAACGCGUUAAACCGACCGCCUGGGGAGUACGGCCGCAAGGUUAAAACUCAAAUGAAUUGACGGGGGCCCGCACAAGCGGUGGAGCAUGUGGUUUAAUUCGAUGCAACGCGAAGAACCUUACCUACUCUUGACAUCCAGAGAACUUUCCAGAGAUGGAUUGGUGCCUUCGGGAACUCUGAGACAGGUGCUGCAUGGCUGUCGUCAGCUCGUGUUGUGAAAUGUUGGGUUAAGUCCCGCAACGAGCGCAACCCUUAUCCUUUGUUGCCAGCGGUUCGGCCGGGAACUCAAAGGAGACUGCCAGUGAUAAACUGGAGGAAGGUGGGGAUGACGUCAAGUCAUCAUGGCCCUUACGAGUAGGGCUACACACGUGCUACAAUGGCGUAUACAAAGAGAAGCGACCUCGCGAGAGCAAGCGGACCUCAUAAAGUACGUCGUAGUCCGGAUUGGAGUCUGCAACUCGACUCCAUGAAGUCGGAAUCGCUAGUAAUCGUAGAUCAGAAUGCUACGGUGAAUACGUUCCCGGGCCUUGUACACACCGCCCGUCACACCAUGGGAGUGGGUUGCAAAAGAAGUAGGUAGCUUAACCUUCGGGAGGGCGCUUACCACUUUGUGAUUCAUGACUGGGGUGAAGUCGUAACAAGGUAACCGUAGGGGAACCUGCGGCUGGAUCACCUCCUU
RNAcentral lists this ribosomal RNA (761 nucleotides) under uncultured bacterium. RNAcentral's name for it is "bacterial SSU rRNA". It matches the Rfam family "Bacterial small subunit ribosomal RNA", at positions 771 to 1532 of the family's 1533-position model. The record is from RNAcentral.